CAUCCCUCCAGAAAAUAUUAUGCCAGUCUCCUUUCUUAAAGACAACUGUAUCCUCUAUGAGCACUUCUCUACCUGACUUCAGGUAGGUAGGGAUGCAAACAAGAAUAUCACUCCAACACAUCAUCACUCGUAAGGAAUGGGGACCAACUCAUCAGCAUGAACUCAGUUGUCAACACCCUAGCUGGCCGCACUGGGGAAUCUGCACAGGAACCCAUUCCCAGCCCUGUUCAAGUCCUAGGGGAGUGGAAAUGCCACAGCCCUCUCUGCAAGCCCACACCCUCAGCCUCUCUGAUCCCCUUAGGGAAUCCCUGGUUUCUCUUCCACUGCCUGCCUGCGGUGAUGGUAACUGGACUAGAUCAGCUCUCCAACAAGACAUCACUUCCUUUUUCAUAGCCAUGCAAGCUUCUACUAAGAGGAAAUCUGGACACAGAGGGAAGAUGAUAUGAAGACACAGGGAGAAGACAGCCAUCUACAUACAGGCCAAAGAGAGAGGCCUGGAACAGAUCCUUCCUUCACAGCCCUCAGAAGGAACCAACCCUAUGACAUCUUGACUUCCAGAACUGAGAGAAAAUAAAUUUCCGUUGUGUAAGGCACCCAGUCUGUGUUACUCUGUUAUGGCAACCCUAGCAAAUUAAUAUAGUAUAUUUGACUCACUCUGCUCCUUAAUGCAGUAAAUGCAAAAAGCCUGAGGCAAAAAGAAACUGAGCUGUUUAAGGACCACCAAGGAGGGUAGCAACUAAAGAGAAGCAGGAAGGGAGAAAGUAGCAAAAGCUGAGCGGAAGAAGUUGGUGAGGGU
Molecule: long non-coding RNA, 796 nt
Filed under: Homo sapiens (human)
Lineage: Eukaryota; Metazoa; Chordata; Mammalia; Primates; Hominidae
Description: HSALNT0280467
Source: RNAcentral